CAAAAAUGAUAUUUAAAUGAGGAGAUUUAACAACAUUUACAUAGGUAAGUUUUCUUUUCAGUUCAUAUUCAAAAUUUCAUGACGUGAAAUGAUAAGAAGGCACAUACUAACAUCUUUGCAAUAGCAACCGUGAGUGAAUCUCUUUCAAGUGAUUGUGAUCACAACAUCAUUAAAAUGCAUGGGAAGUUGGAGAAAGAAGCUCUAGACUUUCUUAAUAGUCUGAAGAUCACUUCAAAAAUACAAACAAAAGUUCAAGCAAAAUAAAAAUAAAUCUUAGCGAUUUUCCGACACGCCUACUUUUUACAAGAACAUAUAUGCAAAAAAUAAAAAUAAGUAUUGAAUCAUAUUCAAAGAAUUUAGAGACCAUCACAAAUGCUUCCACUGAUGAUUCAUCGACGAAAGCAAGUCAGUUACAAAUUCAACUGGCAUACACAAAAAAUAUCUAUAUAACUCGUCCUCCUUUUAAAAUAUCUCCUAUCCCGUUUCCUGAUAGUUGAUUUGAAUAAUGUGUUAAUCAACAAUUUCCAGUAGACCCUCGGCAAUCCUUCAUUAAAUAAUAUCAAUAAAAGGCAUGGAUGACUCUUGAGUAGUUGCAGCUCAUUCUUUCACGCUAAUGAUAAUAAAAUCGUCCGAAACAAAAGAAAAGAGAACAGAAUAUUUAAAAACACUACUUGGCUUUUUCGUUAGUUUUCUAGACCUUGAUGCUCGCUGACUUGCAGUUAUUCAUAAAAAUGUUCUAUUUCUUGAUCACGCUGAAUCAUGUCUUAGUAAUGUUGAUAUUGAAUUUGAAUCUCAGUCUAGAGAUAUAAAAGCAAAGCUAUGCAAUUGGGAUAACAUACCGACUAUUUGGCAAUACUGAAUUUCUGCUGCAGUUUAUCUAUCGAAGGCGGAAAAUAUUUCUAUUAAAGUAGUUUAGGAUGUUGUUAAUUUCAAUGUAGCAAAACAGACACAAUAGAAGAAUUUUUAAAAGUCAGCGAGGCUUUAUGCAAACACUACAAAGAGAUAUUUCCAAAUUGCUUAGCAACAGUAAAGAACUUUCAAAAAUGUUUAUAAACAACUUUGUGGAAAACAAGUGCAGAAGUUCAAGAAGUAUAAGUCUACUGUGUAAAUAUAGCGAUAUAGAUAUCGACAAAGUUAACAAUAAUCAACUCUCUGGUGAAAAAAACAAAAACAAAAUAUACACAUUAAUUAAUGAACACAUCAAAUAAAAAAUAAAGACAUGAAAACAAAAGGAAACUUUUUGAACCGAAUCAAUGGAUUUUAAUAGAGUACAUCUUUUAACAGUAUAAAUACGACACAAACACACCGAAUAUUUAGUGGAAUUACCAAUGCGCAAAUUUUGUUCUUGUGGACAUAACUUAAAUAAGUAUGUGUGUUUAUCUCAUAAUAAAGAGUGGGAUCUUAAUAUAUUAUCCAAGUUUACGAAAGGGAUGUCAGCUGCACAAUGAUAAGUAUAGAUUUGAAACUUAUACUUAUAUUCUUUCGUUAAAAUCCAUUGAAUCGUUAUUGAUAACAAAACAUAACAGUAAAUAUUCAUCAAAAUCAUUGGAUUAUUGUCAUUACAUGUAUAUAGAAAUAUUUUUAAUCACAUGUGUUGUAAACAGAAUUAAGGUUGUCAAUGCAGAGAAAAACGUUUGGUAUUUUUUAUAUACCUUUGAACAGAUAAACAAAUAUUAUCAUUUUCUUCAGUACUUAAAGCAUGAUCACCAAAUAAUAAUAGAUCGAUAGUAAUAUUUACAUUAAAUACAUUAAUUUCGUUAAACAUCAGAUUUCUCUGAGCUGAAAAAAAUAAUACAAUAUAAUAGAUAGUGUUCAACAUUUUCAUUAAUAAAACCACAUGAACAAUUUGCAUUUUGUAUCAAAUUUGCUUUGAACAAGUCAGCACGCAGUGCGCUACAUCUGUUACGCAGCCUUGUGUAUAAAACAGAAUACAAACGAUCUCCUAAAGAACCAAAUCUCGGAGAUUUAUUAUUUCUAUAGUAUAGUUUGUGCAAGUUUUAUUUAAAAAAGGAAAAUAUACUAAUAUGUCUUAUACAUGUACUUAAGUCUAAAGAGUUCCACAGUGCAAUAGAUGACGGAAAAUAAGACUGUUGAUAAGCUGAUAAACGAUUUACGGGGAUAGUAAUAUUUUGACUGUUACGCAAAUUAUAAUUACAAAUAUCUGAUACAAAAUCCGGAACCAAAUCGUGUAAAUAAUCUGGCGCUUGGUUAUUUAUAAUCUUAUAAAACAUAGAUAUAUAGCAGUUUUACAAACCCUCACUUUGAUCAUUAAUAUCCUAAUGUUAGCUCAACAAUAGAACACGAUGAAAACGUUGAGUUGAACUUUAGUGAGGACGUGAUGAGUGUAGAAAGAUCGUGAUAAUCGUAGUGUGGUCGCAGAAUAAGCGAGGCAGGAACGUGGUAUAAUUGAGCGGGAUCGUUGUAGAAGCGUAAUGAGGACGUUGUAGCAAUGUGAUUGAAACGAAAGUUUACCUUUUUUUAUGAGCUCAUCUUCGAGCUCACCAUGAUCUGAAUUUAUUUUAGAUUGCGGUGAGCGUGGUGCGAUCGUGGUCUAGUGGGACUGGGGCUAGUAAAAGUGUAUGAGUUUACCACAUUUUUUUGAUAGAGUGCAGAAUAACUACGCACAACAAUCCGAGGGAAAGAGAUACAGGGAAACUUGAUGUUAAAUGUUGGUGAUUAAUUAUUCUAAUAAUUUAACUUUAUGGGUACUUAUAUUUAGUAUGAACAUUAUUUGUUUAUUGUUUCAAAUUAUAAUAAUGAUGAAAUUAAAACAAGUAUAUUCUAGGCUAUCACUACAUUCAAUGUAUUUCAUUUUUUAAUUUUUUUUAUUGCUAUUAUGAUUAUUGGUACUGUCAUUUUUGUUAUAGGUAUGACUUUCAAAAGCGGGUGUGUCAAAAAAUGAAAGAUCGACUAAAAUUGGAUAAGAAAAAAGUCCUAUCUUAAAUACAAAGAACUGAUUUGAAAAUUAAGGAAGUUGAAAAAGAUUUACAACAGUUCAAUUCUAUAUCGGACCAAUGACUUGUGUCUAAAAAACAUGGAAAGGAAAGGAAGAAGAGUAAUUGAAAAUAAUAUACAAUCUGUGAAUAUUUAUUUUGUUUUUUAAAUCUCGAAACAACAAGUGAAUGUCAACUGAAUAUAAUAAAUGCGGCAA
This 3151-nucleotide long non-coding RNA is filed under the name Mytilus galloprovincialis (Mediterranean mussel). Lineage: Eukaryota; Metazoa; Mollusca; Bivalvia; Mytilida; Mytilidae. The record is from RNAcentral.